Molecule: ribosomal RNA, 406 nt
Filed under: uncultured bacterium
Lineage: Bacteria
Description: partial 16S ribosomal RNA
Rfam family: Bacterial small subunit ribosomal RNA
Source: RNAcentral
AUUGAACGCUGGCGGCAGGCCUAACACAUGCAAGUCGAACGAGUGGCGGACGGGUGAGUAAUGUCUGGGAAACUGCCCGAUGGAGGGGGAUAACUACUGGAAACGGUAGCUAAUACCGCAUACCAUCGGAUGUGCCCAGAUGGGAUUAGCUUGUGGGUGAGGUAACGGCUCACCUAGGCGACGAUCCCUAGCUGGUCUGAGAGGAUGACCAGCCACAAGGGAACUGAGAAACGGGGCAGACUCCUACGGGAGGCAGCAGUGGGGAAUAUGGGACAAUGGGCGCAAGCCUGAUGCAGCCAUGCGGCGUGGAGGAAGAAGGCCUUCGGGUUGUAAAGUACUUUCAGCGGGGAGGCGUUACCCGCAGAAGAAGCACCGGCUAACUCCGUGCCAGAAGCCGCGGUAAUAC